GGCAGCCGCGGUAAUUCCAGCUCCAAUAGCGUAUAUUAAAGUUGUUGCAGUUAAAAAGCUCGUAGUUGAAUUUCGGGAUCAAUAUGUCGGUCGUGCCUUCGGUACGUACUGGUAUCAUUGGUCUCUCCUUUCUGACGAACCAUGAUGUCAUUAAUUUGGUGUUAUGGGGAGUUAGGACUGUUACUUUGAAAAAUUAGAGUGUUUAAAGCAGGCUUUAGCUUGAAUACAUUAGCAUGGAAUAAUGAAAUAGGACGUUCGAACCUAUUUUGUUGGUUUCUAGGAUCAACGUAAUGAUUAAUAGGGAUAGUUGGGGGCAUUAGUAUUCAAUUGUCAGAGGUGAAAUUCUUGGAUUUAUUGAAGACUAACUACUGCGAAAGCAUUUGCCAAGGAUGUUUUCAUUAAUCAAGAACGAAAGUUAGGGGAUCGAAGACGAUCAGAUACCGUCGUAGU
Molecule: ribosomal RNA, 450 nt
Filed under: uncultured Glomus
Lineage: Eukaryota; Fungi; Glomeromycota; Glomeromycetes; Glomerales; Glomeraceae
Description: SSU rRNA
Rfam family: Eukaryotic small subunit ribosomal RNA
Source: RNAcentral